AGUCCUAUUUCUUAUCCCACACCCACCCCCAUCUCCCACUGUACUUCCCCAUUUCGAGGGAAGAGGUGGUUAAUAUAACCUCUUUCUCUUUCUUUAGCAAAGGAUACAAUUCUUGAUUUUUUUUUUCUUUGCCUGCCAAAUGUACAUUCUUGUCUUGAUAAAAAAUACUGGUUUGAUUAUAUUAGCAUAGGGGUUUCUCCAUUAAUUGAGUUCUUUCUAGGAAUUUACCUGAUCUUACCUGGUUUUGGGGAUUCAUCUUUUGUGAAUAUAUAACAACAAUUUGCAUUUUGUUGGUUGGGAUUCUAAAUAUUGAUUCUUCUUCAGAUCUGAGUGCCUGUAAAGAUAUUUACAGCAGAGAAAAGGAUCUUACUUUAUAGACAUUUGGUGUAAUUAAUUAAAGAUUAAAGUUAGGUUCUUGAGAGGUUCUCAAGAAUGGCUUAAAUUAAAGGGAUGGAUAUCAAUGCAGUUUAAUCUUGGUGAGUUUGGAUAAAUUGGAUGGAUGUGUAUGAAUCAGAGAUAGCAUUAAAGAAACAUUCUUCAACAGUGGAGACAAAAAGAGGUACUCCAUUGAUUCAACCUGAGAAGAACAAUGGAAACAACACACGUAGAUCAAGAACUAGAGAAGUUAGUUCCAGAUACAGGUCACCUACUCCAUCAACUUCCUCAGGUCCUAGUAGACGUUGUUCUUCUCCAAAUGUCACAAGAAUUGGAACUACUACUACUACAUCGACAUUGUCGUUACCUAAGAGAGCGAUAUCGGCUGAAAGGAAACGUCCCACAACACCCUCAUCACCUACCAGUCGAUCACCAUCAACACCUGUACAUGAUACAUCUGUGGAAGAAUUGUUGUCUAGAAAGUUAGCAGGCAACAGGUUGCCUGAAUCUUUGUGGCCAUCAACAAUGAGGAGUCUAAGUGUUUCUUUUCAAUCGGAUACGUUUUCUUUACCUGUUGGCAAGAGAGAAAAACCUGCUCCUCAUGCUUUAUGUGAUCGUACGUUAAGGCCAUCAUCAAAUGUAGUACAGAAACAAGGUGAAACACAUCCUGGUUCUCGAAAGGCGACGCCUGAGAGGAGGAGGAGUCCAUUGAAGGGAAAGAAUUCAGUUGAUCAAGGAGAGAAUUCUAGACCUGUUGAUAGUUUAAAUGCUCGAUUAGUUGAUCAGCAUCGAUGGCCAAGUAGAGUGAAUAUGAAGGUGGUACCUUCUGGUUCUAUGAACAGAAGUAUUGAUCUGAGUGAUAAGAAGAGCAAAAUCGCGCCUUCCUUGAGGAGAUUGUCAUUGGAUGGUUAUAGCAAACCAUUGCAAAAAUCUUCCAGCGACUUGCUGUCACUAGAAUCAUCUGAUGAUGGAGUAAAAGUUCGUGGUCGAUCAGUAGAUGAUAAUUCACUUUCAAUGCAGAAGUCCACAUCUUCGACUUCAUUGGAUAGAACAGUAUCGGGGAAUCCAGUAGCUAGAGCUCACACUGUAUCGGCUCCUGGAUCACGGUUUCCUUCACCAAACAAAGCAUCUUUUUUAUCAUCCUCUGCAUCUAGAGGAGUCAGUCCAUCUCGAGUAAAAUCAGUCCCAAGUACACCAUCUAGAGGGCCAAGUCCUUCUCGGAUAAGACCAUCUAGUCCAUCUAGACAACAACCCAAAACUGCUACUUCUGUCCUCAGCUUUAUUGCAGAUAUCAAAAAGGGAAAGAAGGCAGCUAACCACAUAGAAGAUGUUCAUCAGUUGAGGCUAUUGUAUAAUAGACAUCUCCAAUGGAGGUAUGCUAAUGCCAGGUCAGAUGCAGCAUUGCACGCGCAGAAAGUUAAAGCUGAGAAAACAUUGUACAAUGUCUGGAGAAAUACCUCAAACCUAUGGGCUUCUGUUAUUAAAAAGAGAGUUGCGCUCCAACAGCUGAAGCUGAAGUUGAAGCUAUUUGCAGUUCUAAAUGAACAGCACACCUACCUGGAUGAGUGGGCUUCAAUUGAAGGGGAUCAUACCAGUUCAUUAUCCCAUGUUAUACAAGACCUACAAGCAUGCACUCUUCGUCUUCCAAUAACUGGACGAGCAAAGGGUGAUAUUGAAGGUGUAAAAGAAGCUGUUAGCUCAGCUGUUGAUGUAAUGCAGGCAAUGGGAUCCUCCAUGCGUUUUAUUUUAUCUAGGGCUUUGUACAAUCCUCAAUUGUUUGUUUGAUGGAUGUGGAUAAGAGAGAGUGAGAGAGCUGAUCAGGGAGAGAGAUAGAGAAAAGUCACUAGCACAGUCUUCUGUAACAGAGCCGGUAUCUAAAUUCUGAAGAGUUCUGUAGUCACAAAACUGAGAGUAUCACAACUCAAAAGUUGUGUAGUCAGGAUAGUUACCUCAUCCUUAUAUUUGCUUGUAGUCUUUGUUUCUUAUUUGGUCCAUUUUAUUGAGUUGGACGGUUAACAAAAAACUACUGAUACAUUUCACAUUGGCAAUUAUGCUUUUAGGUUAACUGGAAAGAGUAAAACAUUGUGCUUUAUCUUGUCGUAUCAUCAAAGUUGCACUUAUGGAAACUGUAGCAUACAUGGAAAAAGAAACCCUGUUAGACUUGUUAUUAUAUACUUUCCUUGGCCUGUUCUCUGAAUCAUCUAGCAAGAUUUUAUUGGAUAAACAUUCAUUAAAAUAGUUUUAAUUGUCAGUAUGUUUAGCAUCGGGAAAGAACCAUUUUGUACGUUUUAUUGCUUUCCAUCUCUCAUUCUCUCUUCAGUCCUUUCCCUGGGCCCCUUCUGCAGUGUCGAUUUUCAAAUAUUACAUUGGUUUGAAGGGAUAAAAUUGAUGUAUCUCGGAAAAGAUGCAAAAGAAUCCCUUCCAAAAGAUUCUCAAAAAACCCACUUGCUAUUCAAGAUAUGUUGCAUACAGGAAAGUAAACUCUAGACGAAUACCGUAAUACUCUGAGAAUUAGGCUUAAGAUUGUUACACUUAGGCUUCUGGAUUUCCUUUGGGCCUUAUGCACAGGUGGAAAGUGGAAGCUCUUAAUAUCCAAAGUCCAACUGAUAACUAGAUAGUAUUUCUUGUGUAAGAUAGCUAAAUUGAAGUACUAAGGAGUUGACACUACUUGAGCACAAACAGAAGUCAUGAGGCCUGCCAGUAAUUGUUGAAUCACAAAUUAUGAUACAUUUUUUGGCUAUCUAAUUACUUUGUUGUAGUCGGAACAUGAAAAAAUUUGACUUUCAAGAGCACGAGUGGAUUAUUUACUUGUAUAUUUGAAAUGUAUUAAAACAUCUAUUGAACCUGGCCAAUUGCUUGAAUGUCAAACAAUCUAAAGGCUCAACUUGAUAUCUUGAUUUGAUAGGAACUUCUGUAUAAUUUUGCCCGUACUGUUCCCUAAUUUUGCGCUCUGCAAUUUGCAGAUGGAAGGGAUGAACUGCCUGGUUUCUGAACUUGCUGACGUGGCAGCUCAAGAGCGAGCAAUGCUGGAUGAAUGUGAAGCCUUGUUGGCUUCAACAGCAGCUAUGCAGGUAGAAGAAUAUAGCAUUAGUUCUCAUCUUAUACAGUUGAA
Molecule: RNA transcript, 3487 nt
Organism: Lycium barbarum (goji berry)
Lineage: Eukaryota; Viridiplantae; Streptophyta; Magnoliopsida; Solanales; Solanaceae
Gene name: AUGMIN subunit 8
Exons: 7
Source: RefSeq, a predicted model, not a curated record